Molecule: ribosomal RNA, 327 nt
Filed under: uncultured soil bacterium
Lineage: Bacteria
Description: bacterial SSU rRNA
Rfam family: Bacterial small subunit ribosomal RNA
Source: RNAcentral
AGAUUGAACGCUGGCGGCAGGCCUAACACAUGCAAGUCGAGCGGCAGCACGGGUACUUGUACCUGGUGGCGAGCGGCGGACGGGUGAGUAAUGCCUAGGAAUCUGCCUGGUAGUGGGGGAUAACGCUCGGAAACGGACGCUAAUACCGCAUACGUCCUACGGGAGAAAGCAGGGGACCUUCGGGCCUUGCGCUAUCAGAUGAGCCUAGGUCGGAUUAGCUAGUUGGUGAGGUAAUGGCUCACCAAGGCGACGAUCCGUAACUGGUCUGAGAGGAUGAUCAGUCACACUGGAACUGAGACACGGUCCAGACUCCGUACGGGGAGCAGC